CUGGUGUACUAGAUUCAUGGGAAGGCAUAAUAUGGUACUGAGGCAAAAGACGAAAAUUGCCCAGAAAUUACCUGCAGAUCUUGAUAGCAAAGUACAUAGUUUCCAUCGAUACGUAAUACAGCAGCGCACUAAACAUGGCUAUGCGUUAAGUAGUAUUGGAAAUAUGGAUGAAACUCCAAUGAAUUUUGAUAUGGUUGGAAAUAAAACUGUCCAUCAAAAAGGUGAAAAAACUAUUUUAAUUAAAACAACAGGACAUGAGAAGUCCAGUUUUACAGUGGUACUAGGAUGCACAGCUGAUGGCGCCAAACUGAGACCAAUGAUUAUUUUUAAAAGAAAAACAAUGCCGAAACUCAAGUUCCCUGUUGGUUGUUUUGUACAUGUGAAUGAAAAAGGCUGGAUGGAUGAAGAAGGGGUAAAGCUGUGGCUUGAUAAUGUAUGGAGCAGGCGACCAGGUGGACUUAUUAAAAAACGUAGUCUACUGGUGUGGGAUAUAUUUAGGGCUCAUUUAACUCCCAGCACCAAGCAAAGGCUUGCAAGACUAAACACAGAUGCGGCAGUUAUUCCUGCAGGAUUGACAUCGUUGGUACAGCCACUGGAUGUGUGCCUAAACAAGCCAUUUAAAGAUCGCAUUCGAGAACAGUGGAAUGAAU
Non-coding RNA from Pelobates cultripes (western spadefoot toad), 650 nucleotides. NCBI's taxonomy places the organism in Eukaryota, Metazoa, Chordata, Amphibia, Anura, Pelobatidae. The record is from the annotation of a GenBank genome assembly.